This 1285-nucleotide ribosomal RNA is filed under the name Paracorniculantispora psalliotae. RNAcentral's name for it is "LSU rRNA". It matches the Rfam family "Eukaryotic large subunit ribosomal RNA", at positions 94 to 1410 of the family's 3401-position model. Lineage: Eukaryota; Fungi; Ascomycota; Sordariomycetes; Hypocreales; Cordycipitaceae. The record is from RNAcentral.
UGAAGCGGCAACAGCUCAAAUUUGAAAUCUGGUCCCCAGGGCCCGAGUUGUAAUUUGUAGAGGAUGCUUUUGGCGCGGCGCCUUCCGAGUUCCCUGGAACGGGACGCCAUAGAGGGUGAGAGCCCCGUCUGGUCGGACGCCUAGCCUCUGUAAAGCUCCUUCGACGAGUCGAGUAGUUUGGGAAUGCUGCUCAAAAUGGGAGGUAUAUGUCUUCUAAAGCUAAAUAUUGGCCAGAGACCGAUAGCGCACAAGUAGAGUGAUCGAAAGAUGAAAAGCACUUUGAAAAGAGGGUUAAACAGUACGUGAAAUUGUUGAAAGGGAAGCGCCUAUGACCAGACUUGGGCCCGGUGAAUCACCCAGCGUUCUCGCUGGUGCACUUUGCCGGGCACAGGCCAGCAUCAGUUUGGCGCGGGGGAUAAAGGCUCUGGGAAUGUGGCUCCCUCGGGAGUGUUAUAGCCCUCUGCGUAAUACCCUGCGCCGGACUGAGGUACGCGCUCCGCAAGGAUGCUGGCGUAAUGGUCAUCAGCGACCCGUCUUGAAACACGGACCAAGGAGUCGUCUUCGUAUGCGAGUGUUCGGGUGUCAAACCCCUACGCGUAAUGAAAGUGAACGCAGGUGAGAGCUUCGGCGCAUCAUCGACCGAUCCUGAUGUUCUCGGAUGGAUUUGAGUAAGAGCAUACGGGGCCGGACCCGAAAGAAGGUGAACUAUGCCUGUAUAGGGUGAAGCCAGAGGAAACUCUGGUGGAGGCUCGCAGCGGUUCUGACGUGCGAAUCGAUCGUCAAAUAUGGGCAUGGGGGCGAAAGACUAAUCGAACCUUCUAGUAGCUGGUUUCCGCCGAAGUUUCCCUCAGGAUAGCAGUGUUGAACUCAGUUUUAUGAGGUAAAGCGAAUGAUUAGGGACUCGGGGGCGCUAUAUUGCCUUCAUCCAUUCUCAAACUUUAAAUAUGUAAGAAGCCCUUGUUACUUAAUUGAACGUGGGCAUUCGAAUGUAUCAACACUAGUGGGCCAUUUUUGGUAAGCAGAACUGGCGAUGCGGGAUGAACCGAACGCGAGGUUAAGGUGCCGGAGUGGACGCUCAUCAGACACCACAAAAGGUGUUAGUACAUCUUGACAGCAGGACGGUGGCCAUGGAAGUCGGAAUCCGCUAAGGACUGUGUAACAACUCACCUGCCGAAUGUACUAGCCCUGAAAAUGGAUGGCGCUCAAGCGUCCCACCCAUACCUCGCCCUCAGGGUAGAAACGAAGCCCUGAGGAGUAGGCGGACGUGGAGGUCAGUGACGAAGCC